Molecule: long non-coding RNA, 309 nt
Organism: Limulus polyphemus (Atlantic horseshoe crab)
Lineage: Eukaryota; Metazoa; Arthropoda; Merostomata; Xiphosura; Limulidae
Exons: 3
Source: RefSeq, a predicted model, not a curated record
AGGUUCAUGUCAUUAAACCUGUUCUUUAUAAACUAGACUGCUUAGUAGGAGCUUCAGUAUUUACUGACUCCUUACGAGAACAUGGUGCUUUACCUCUACUCCAUACAUCGUGGGUACUUCUAACACUCAAGAGAAUGUUCUUUCAUGAAAAUAAGUUUGUGGUGAAAUGGGCUGUCUACUAUAUUCUUGACAUGAAUAUUAAAGAUUUCCCACUUUUUGAGCAGUACAUGGAACCUGUUGUGUACCAACAUCUUCUUUACGUACUGAACGACAACUCUUUGUAUGGAAGGUAAUAAAAUAUGUGUUAUA